RNAcentral lists this ribosomal RNA (353 nucleotides) under uncultured eukaryote. RNAcentral's name for it is "SSU rRNA". It matches the Rfam family "Eukaryotic small subunit ribosomal RNA", at positions 594 to 945 of the family's 1831-position model. The record is from RNAcentral.
AUAGCGUAUAUUAAAGUUGUUGCAGUUAAAAAGCUCGUAGUUGAAUUUCGGGAUUGACACAUCGGUCGUGCCUUAAGGGGUAUGAACUGGUGUAGUCAAUUUCUCACCUUCUGGAGAACCGCGAUGCCCUUAAUUGGGUGUCGCGGGGAACCAGGACCUUUACUUUGAAAAAAUUAGAGUGUUUAAAGCAGGCAUUUUGCUUGAAUACAUUAGCAUGGAAUAAUAAAAUAGGACGGCAUGAUUCUAUUUUGUUGGUUUCUAGGAUCACCGUAAUGAUUAAUAGGGAUAGUUGGGGGCAUUAGUAUUCAAUUGUCAGAGGUGAAAUUCUUGGAUUUAUUGAAGACUAACUACUG